Molecule: ribosomal RNA, 466 nt
Filed under: uncultured bacterium
Lineage: Bacteria
Description: partial 16S ribosomal RNA
Rfam family: Bacterial small subunit ribosomal RNA
Source: RNAcentral
GAUGAACGCUGGCGGCGUGCUUAACACAUGCAAGUCGAACGAUGAAGCCCAGCUUGCUGGGUGGAUUAGUGGCGAACGGGUGAGUAACACGUGAGUAACCUGCCCUUAACUCUGGGAUAAGCCUGGGAAACUGGGUCUAAUACCGGAUAGGAGCGCCUACCGCAUGGUGGGUGUUGGAAAGAUUUAUCGGUUUUGGAUGGACUCGCGGCCUAUCAGCUUGUUGGUGAGGUAAUGGCUCACCAAGGCGACGACGGGUAGCCGGCCUGAGAGGGUGACCGGCCACCCUGGGACUGAGGCACGGCCCAGACUCCUACGGGAGGCAGCAGUGGGGAAUAUUGCACAAUGGGCGAAAGCCUGAUGCAGCGACGCCGCGUGAGGGAUGACGGCCUUCGGGUUGUAAACCUCUUUCAGUAGGGAAGAAGCGAAAGUGACGGUACCUGCAGAAGAAGCACCGGCUAACUACGUG